This 3461-nucleotide ribosomal RNA is filed under the name Candidatus Peregrinibacteria bacterium CG11_big_fil_rev_8_21_14_0_20_49_14. Its description in RNAcentral is "bacterial LSU rRNA". It matches the Rfam family "Bacterial large subunit ribosomal RNA", at positions 17 to 2619 of the family's 2925-position model. The record is from RNAcentral. Lineage: Bacteria; Candidatus Peregrinibacteriota.
GCAUUACAUGGAUGCCUCGACUCUAUACUCCGAUGAAGGACGUGGCCAGCUGCGAUAUGCCUCGGUAAGCCGCUAGGCAGGCGUUAUUAGCCGAGGAUUUCCGAAUGAGGAAACUCCUCCGCCGUCAUGGGCGGAGACCGGAGAGCUUGCUCUCCGGAGGUCACUCUGUGAACUGAAACAUCUCAGUAACAGAGGAAAAGAAAUUAACAAAGAUUCCCUAAGUAGUGGCGAGCGAAAGGGGAACAGGCCAAACCCCAUUGUUUUAUUGAUGGGGGGUUGUAGGGCCCCGAUAUCCGAUUGAUUCUGUAUAAAUGAAUGAGCCUGGAACGGACAGCCAAAGAGGGUGAGAGCCCCGUAAUUGAAAUACAGGAGCACGGUAGGGAGUCCCUGAGUAGGGUCGGACACGUGAAAUCCGGCCUGAAUCUGGGUGGACCACCAUCCAAGCCUAAAUAGGUAUAGAGAUCUAUAGCGAAUAGUACCGCGAGGGAACGGUGAAAAGCACCCCGGAAGGGGGAUGAAAUAGACCCUGAAAUGUAAUGCGUUCAAGGAGCUGGAGCCCUUUAUGGGUGACAGCGUGCCUUUUGCAUAAUGAGCCAAGGAGUUAGUUGUUAGUGGCUGGUUAAGGCAGAGUUAGCCGGAGCCAGAGCGAAAGCGAGUCCGAAUAGGGCGCAUAUAGUCGCUAGCACUAGACCCGAAACCGGGUGAGCUACCCAUGGGCAGGGUGAAGGGCGCCCAACGGCGUCUGGAGGCCCGAACCCACGCAUGUCACAAGAUGCGGGGAUGACCUGUGGGUAGGGGUGAAAAGCCUAUCGAACCCGGAGAUAGCUGGUUCUCUUCGAAAUGCCUUUAGGGGCAGCCUCGUUUUGCAAGAUGGGGGGUAGAGCUACUGUUUGGAUGCGGGGGUCUCCUCGACCUACCAAAUCCUGGCAAACUCCGAAUACCCAUCCUUAGAAAACGGGAGUGAGACGGUGACGGCAAAUCGCCAUCGUCGAGAGGGAAACAACCCAGAUCAUCUGCUAAGGUCCCUAAUGAUAGUUAAGUGUGAAAGGAGGUGUAGGUGCAUGGACAACCAGGAGGUUGGCUUAGAAGCAGCCAUCCUUUAAAGAAAGCGUAACAGCUCACUGGUCGAUUGCACUUAUGCGCCGAAAAUUUAACGGGGCAAAACUAUCUACCGAAGCAAUGAGUGUGCUUUUUAGCACGCAGUAGAAGAGCGUUCUGUUCAGCAGUGAAGCAGUACUGCGAGGUAUUGUGGAGCGGACAGAAGUGAGAAUCUUGGCAUGAGUAACUACUAGGCAGGUGAAAACCCUGCCCGCCGAAUCCCCAAGGGUUCCCACGCAACGUUAAUCGGCGUGGGGUUAGUCGGGCCUAAGGUGAGGCCGAAAGGCGUAACCGAUGGACAACAGGUUAAUAUUCCUGUACCUCAUGGAAAUCGAUCAAGGGUGCCGUUUGAUAGUUUGGCAGGCCUCUGCUUCCUCCUUCGGGAGGCUGGCAUGUCCGUCAGAAAGGACGAUGGUAACCUAGGAGCGGUAUGACGGAGCGGGAACACCAGAGCGUAUGUAUUGACUGUACGUGUAACACGUAAGGCGUUAAUUCCGGUAGGCAAAUCCGCCGGAAGAGCUAAGCGUGGAUGCCAAUUGUCCGCCUCAGGCGGAUGAGUCUGAAUGUUUCUGCUUCCAAGAAAACUGUCGCUUCGAGAGUUUCAUGAGACCGUACCGCAAACCAACACCGGUGGGGUGGUCGAGUAGACCAAGGCGAACGAGUAAUUCCGCGUUAAGGAACUCGGCAAAACAGCGUCCGUAACUUCGGGAUAAGGACUGGCGUUCUCUAUUACGGGGAGCGCCCGCAGCAAAAGAGCUCAGGCGACUGUUUACCAAAAACACAGGUCCCUGCUAAGUCGCAAGACAACGUAUAGGGGCUGAUGCCUGCCCAGUGUCAGAAGGUUACGUGAGGGGGUUUACGCCCUUGAUCUAAGCCCUGAUGAACGGCGGCCGUAACUAUAACGGUCCUAAGGUAGCGAAAUUCCUUGUCGGGUGGUUGGCAAUAACUUGCCCGAAUGACGAGUAAUCGUCACACCAAGGAAUGAGUUGUGUUGAUCAAAACAGUUUAUUAAUUUCUUUGCGCAGCUGAGUUUUAUAUAUUUUAUUGAUCGUAUACCACCAAUAGUGAAAACGUUGCUAUAUGCUGGAAUAUCCGGUGCCGUGAAGUCUUUGUACUUCAUGGCGAGAAUGACGCACUACGCGCAAGCGUGACAAUGUGACGUCUGCGGACAAUCAGCAGGAAACCUUACGUAUGUAAGGGCUCCUCAGAGACUCUACGCAACGCCCCCGCGAAGCCCGAUCUGGGCGAAGUGGGGUGAUGAUAUAGUCCGAUCCCUAUGGCGACAUAGGGUGCAGAGAAGUUCUGCAGUUACACUUCGAGAUGUGCUUUCAGCGCUCCUCAGUGUGACAACACGCGUGGAACGGGAACUCCAACCAAUAUAAUAAGUACAUCGCGAAGGGCGGCUUUGCCGGCCUGGAGCGAUACCUUAAAAGGGAAGGAGAGCCCGUGAGAGGAAACCGUAGGUUUCCUUUCACGAAUAGUGAAGUUCCGACCCGCACGAAUGGUAUAACGGUCUGAGCACUGUCUCAACGCGGAGCUCGGUGAAAUUGCAGUCCCGGUGCAAAUGCCGGGUAGACUACGGAAGGACGAAAAGACCCUAUGAAGCUUUACUAUAAGCUGACAUUGUAUCACUGGUUUCUUUGUGCAGAAUAGGUGGGAGGCUUUGAAGNNNNNNNNNNNNNNNNNNNNNNNACUGGGGCGGUUGCCUCCUAAAAUGUAACGGAGGCGUGCAAUGGUCCACUAGCGCCGGAUGGAAAUCGGCGUUGUCGUAUAAUCGCAUAAGUGGGCCUGACUGUGAGGCUUACAGGCCGAGCAGGGACGAAAGUCGGUGAUAGUGAUCCGGCACCUUUGACACUGAUUUAUUAGUGUCAUUCCACGUGGGUGGGGUGUCGCUCAUCGGAUAAAAGUUACUCUAGGGAUAACAGGCUGAUCGCUCCCAAGCGCCCACAGCGACGGAGCGGUUUGGCACCUCAAUCGGGGUGCUACAGAAGUAAUUCUGUACCAAAAAUUCGGCUUAUAACGGUGAAACCGUCACGAGCAAUUGUGGAAAUUUAUUUGCUCGUCGGCAAUACCGUGGGAAGUCCUCCGCCAACAGCGGAGUGACCCCGUAACGACUGACCCGAAAGGGGAGAGCCUUUCAUAGAGAAAGGCUAACACGCCGAUUCCUGCAACACAUUAAGUCAGAUUACGGUUGUAUACGACUAUACGACCUACGAUCGACUGCAGGAUAAAGAUAUAGUCUGCACCAUACGAAAAUAUGGAUAAAAGUACGAUGUCGGCUCAUCGCAUCCUGGGGCUGAAGAAGGUCCCAAGGGUUUGGCUGUUCGCCAAUUAAAGCGGUACGCGAGCUGGGUUCAGAACGU